UACAGAGGUCCCAAGCGUUACUGAGAAUUACUGGGCGUAAAGGGCGCGUAGGCGGCCCGCUAAGUCGAACGUGAAAUCCCCGAGCUCAACUCGGGAACUGCGUCCGAUACUGGCGGGCUUGAAUCCGGGAGAGGGAUGCGGAAUUCCAGGUGUAGCGGUGAAAUGCGUAGAUAUCUGGAGGAACACCGGUGGCGAAGGCGGCAUCCUGGACCGGCAUUGACGCUGAGGCGCGAAAGCUAGGGGAGCGAACAGG
This 253-nucleotide ribosomal RNA is filed under the name uncultured bacterium. Its description in RNAcentral is "partial 16S ribosomal RNA". It matches the Rfam family "Bacterial small subunit ribosomal RNA", at positions 524 to 776 of the family's 1533-position model. The record is from RNAcentral.